This 253-nucleotide ribosomal RNA is filed under the name uncultured bacterium. RNAcentral describes it as "partial 16S ribosomal RNA". It matches the Rfam family "Bacterial small subunit ribosomal RNA", at positions 524 to 776 of the family's 1533-position model. The record is from RNAcentral.
UACGGAGGGUGCGAGCGUUGUCCGGAAUCACUGGGCGUAGAGGGCGCGUAGGCGGCGCGGAUAGUCGGCGGUGAAAGCCCGGAGCUCAACUCCGGGUCGGCCGUCGAUACUUCCGGGCUUGAGCACUGUAGAGGCAGAUGGAAUUCCGGGUGUAGCGGUGGAAUGCGUAGAGAUCCGGAAGAACACCGGUGGCGAAGGCGGUCUGCUGGGCAGUUGCUGACGCUGAUGCGCGACAGCGUGGGGAGCAAACAGG